CUCCCCUCCAGCCCCGCUGGUUGUUGGGCCGCGCCCCCCGGGGGCGGGCCUCGAGAGAAACGGCGGCACCGUCCGGUCCUCGAGCGUAUGGGGCUCUGUCACCCGCUCUAUGGGCCCGGCCGGGGCUUGCCUCGACCCCCAAUCUUCUCA
Molecule: unclassified non-coding RNA, 150 nt
Filed under: uncultured Aspergillus
Lineage: Eukaryota; Fungi; Ascomycota; Eurotiomycetes; Eurotiales; Aspergillaceae
Description: sequence contains ITS2
Source: RNAcentral